GGUUGUAGCUCAAUGGUAGAGCGCUUGCCUCGCACCUAUGAGACCCUGGGUUCGGUCCUCAGCACCA
Molecule: transfer RNA, 67 nt
Filed under: Marmota monax (woodchuck)
Lineage: Eukaryota; Metazoa; Chordata; Mammalia; Rodentia; Sciuridae
Description: tRNA.Ala
Rfam family: tRNA
About the family: Transfer RNA (tRNA) molecules are approximately 80 nucleotides in length. Their secondary structure includes four short double-helical elements and three loops (D, anti-codon, and T loops).
Source: RNAcentral